Molecule: ribosomal RNA, 425 nt
Filed under: uncultured bacterium
Lineage: Bacteria
Description: partial 16S ribosomal RNA
Rfam family: Bacterial small subunit ribosomal RNA
Source: RNAcentral
GUGGGGAAUCUUGCGCAAUGGGCGAAAGCCUGACGCAGCCAUGCCGCGUGAAUGAUGAAGGUCUUAGGAUUGUAAAAUUCUUUCACCGGGGACGAUAAUGACGGUACCCGGAGAAGAAGCUCCGGCUAACUUCGUGACAGCAGCCGCGGUAAUACGAAGGGGGCUAGCGUUGCUCGGAAUUACUGGGCGUAAAGGGCGCGUAGGCGGACAUUUAAGUCAGGGGUGAAAUCCCGGGGCUCAACCUCGGAACUGCCUUUGAUACUGGGUGUCUUGAGUAUGAGAGAGGUGUGUGGAACUCCGAGUGUAGAGGUGAAAUUCGUAGAUAUUCGGAAGAACACCAGUGGCGAAGGCGACACACUGGCUCAUUACUGACGCUGAGGCGCGAAAGCGUGGGGAGCAAACAGGAUUAGAUACCCUAGUAGUCC